RNAcentral lists this long non-coding RNA (209 nucleotides) under Gallus gallus (chicken). Lineage: Eukaryota; Metazoa; Chordata; Aves; Galliformes; Phasianidae. The record is from RNAcentral.
UAUCUAGCAUAGUGGUCCAUGAUCCAUCACUGUGCUCCCAAGGUGCUCCUGCAAGACAGAUUUCAGCCACCGUUCCCUUUGUAUAGGUACCUUUACCUGUGAAUCUGAAGAGAAUGCUGUGUGGACUGUGAAUUCCUGUCAGAAGACACGGAACUACUAGAAUAUCAGCAAGAAAACUAAACAUCAUGCAGGACAGACCUGUAUCCACC